UACGGGGGGAGCAAGCGUUGUUCGGAAUCACUGGGCGUAAAGGGCGUGUAGGCGGUUCGGUAAGUGGGAUGUGAAAUGCCCCGGCUCACCCGGGGACCUGCAUCCCAAACUGCUGAGCUUGAGUACAGGAGAGGGUGGGGGAAUUCCUGGUGUAGCGGUGAAAUGCGUAGAUAUCAGGAGGAACACCGGUGGCGAAGGCGCCCACCUGGCCUGCUACUGACGCUGAUGCGCGAAAGCUAGGGGAGCAAAC
RNAcentral lists this ribosomal RNA (250 nucleotides) under uncultured bacterium. RNAcentral's name for it is "partial 16S ribosomal RNA". It matches the Rfam family "Bacterial small subunit ribosomal RNA", at positions 524 to 773 of the family's 1533-position model. The record is from RNAcentral.